RNAcentral lists this ribosomal RNA (211 nucleotides) under uncultured Lactobacillus sp. RNAcentral's name for it is "partial 16S ribosomal RNA". It matches the Rfam family "Bacterial small subunit ribosomal RNA", at positions 151 to 355 of the family's 1533-position model. The record is from RNAcentral. Lineage: Bacteria; Bacillati; Bacillota; Bacilli; Lactobacillales; Lactobacillaceae.
UGGAAACAGAUGCUAAUACCGGAUAACAACAGAUGAUGCCUAUCAACUGUUUAAAAAGAUGGUUCUGCUAUCACUCUUGGAUGGACCUGCGGUGCAUUAGCUAGUUGGUAGGGUAACGGCCUACCAAGGCGAUGAUGCAUAGCCGAGUUGAGAGACUGAUCGGCCACAUUGGGACUGAGACACGGCCCAAACUCCUACGGGAGGCAGCAGC